GACGAACGCUGGCGGCGUGCUUAACACAUGCAAGUCGAACGGAAAGGCCCUGCUUGCAGGGUACUCGAGUGGCGAACGGGUGAGUAACACGUGGGUGAUCUGCCCUGCACUUCGGGAUAAGCCUGGGAAACUGGGUCUAAUACCGGAUAGGAGCCAUUUUUAGUGUGAUGGUUGGAAAGUUUUUUCGGUGUAGGAUGAGCUCGCGGCCAAUCAGCUUGUUGGUGGGGUAAUGGCCUACCAAGGCGGCGACGGGUAGCCGGCCUGAGAGGGUGGACGGCCACAUAGGGACUGAGAUACGGCCCAGACUCCUACGGGAGGCAGCAGUGGGGAAUAUUGCACAAUGGGCGCAAGCCUGAUGCAGCGACGCCGCGUGGGGGAUGACGGCCUUCGGGUUGUAAACUCCUUUCGCUAGGGACGAAGCUUUUUGUGACGGUACCUAGAUAAGAAGCACCGGCUAACUACGUG
RNAcentral lists this ribosomal RNA (465 nucleotides) under uncultured bacterium. RNAcentral's name for it is "partial 16S ribosomal RNA". It matches the Rfam family "Bacterial small subunit ribosomal RNA", at positions 28 to 507 of the family's 1533-position model. The record is from RNAcentral.